GUCGCGUCAGGGCUGGCCGGCGGCGGAGGCGGCGGCGGCGGCGGCGAUGGCAGCGGACCCUGAGCGAGCUUGAGGGCUCGGACCCAGCUCCCUCCCGCGAAACCUUGGGCGGAUCCGGCGCUGCGGCCCCAGCUCGCUCCGCUCCUGCUCCCUCCCCGGCCGCUGCCUGGGCGGAGGCAGAGGCAGAGGCCCGGGCUGGCCGCCCUGCUCGUGCCCCAGCUCGGCCCCGGACGGCCCGGCUGCUGUGCAGAGAGGAGGCCGAGUCGUGAAAAGAGAAUACUGAAGAAUAGGAUCUCAAGAUGAGUAAAAAGCCCCCAAAUCGCCCUGGAAUCACUUUUGAGAUUGGUGCUCGUUUGGAGGCACUGGACUACUUACAAAAAUGGUAUCCAUCACGAAUUGAAAAAAUUGACUAUGAGGAGGGCAAGAUGUUGGUCCAUUUUGAGCGCUGGAGUCAUCGUUAUGAUGAGUGGAUUUACUGGGAUAGCAAUAGAUUGCGACCCCUUGAGAGACCAGCACU
RNAcentral lists this long non-coding RNA (517 nucleotides) under Homo sapiens (human). RNAcentral describes it as "HSALNT0144179". Lineage: Eukaryota; Metazoa; Chordata; Mammalia; Primates; Hominidae. The record is from RNAcentral.